Non-coding RNA from Pseudomonas sp. BRH_c35, 359 nucleotides. NCBI's taxonomy places the organism in Bacteria, Pseudomonadati, Pseudomonadota, Gammaproteobacteria, Pseudomonadales, Pseudomonadaceae. The record is from Rfam.
AGAGUCGAUCGGACAGUCGCUGUCUCUUUUUGUUCCGCAAAAAGGGAGGGAGGAAAGUCCGGGCUCCAUAGGGCGAAGUGCCAGGUAACGCCUGGGAGGCGCGAGCCUACGGAAAGUGCCACAGAAAAUAACCGCCUAAGCACUUCGGUGCCGGUAAGGGUGAAAAGGUGCGGUAAGAGCGCACCGCGCGGCUGGCAACAGUCCGUGGCUAGGUAAACCCCACUUGGAGCAAGACCAAAUAGGGAUCCAUCGGCGUGGCCCGCGCUGGAUCCGGGUAGGUUGCUAGAGGCAGUCAGCGAUGGCUGUCGUAGAGGAAUGGCUGUCCUCGACAGAACCCGGCUUACAGAUCGACUCUCCUC